This 68-nucleotide transfer RNA is filed under the name marine eukaryotic metagenome. It matches the Rfam family "tRNA". From Rfam's summary of the family: Transfer RNA (tRNA) molecules are approximately 80 nucleotides in length. Their secondary structure includes four short double-helical elements and three loops (D, anti-codon, and T loops). The record is from RNAcentral.
GCGUAUAGCUCAGUCGGUAGAGCGGCGGUCUCCAAAACCGUAGGUCGGGGGUUCGAGUCCUCCUGCGC